Molecule: ribosomal RNA, 253 nt
Filed under: uncultured bacterium
Lineage: Bacteria
Description: partial 16S ribosomal RNA
Rfam family: Bacterial small subunit ribosomal RNA
Source: RNAcentral
UACAGAGGUCUCAAGCGUUGUUCGGAUUCAUUGGGCGUAAAGGGUGCGUAGGUGGCGCCGUAAGUCAGAUGUGAAAUUUCGGAGCUUAACUCCGAAACUGCAUUCGAUACUGCGGUGCUUGAGGACUGGAGAGGAGACUGGAAUUCAUGGUGUAGCAGUGAAAUGCGUAGAUAUCGUAAGGAAGACCAGUGGCGAAGGCGGGUCUCUGGACAGUUCCUGACGCUGAGGCACGAAGGUCAGGGGAGCAAACGGG